CGGCCACUAAAGGACGAAAGAUCAGUCGAAGAGAUCUGCUCAAAGUCAAUGUCCAGCGCACUUGCUGUGACAUCAUGGAUUACGUGUUGGUCAGAGUCCCGCCCCCUGUAUCAGGAUUGCCCCGCCCACGUUUCUCCCUGUACCUGUCCUCUCAGCUGCAGUAUGGAGUGGUGCUUGUCUACCACAGACAGUGUGAAUUUUUGUUAGGUUGGUGUGCUCAAACUUGAGGGUAAAUGAUCAUUUGUGGGCUGGGACAAUUUUUUUAAGUCAAAAAUAUUCACUUGUAUACUUUUAUAAGGAUAUUAUUGAAAUGCCCCUAAUAUAUUCUUUAGGCUUGAUUUAGCAUGUAACAAAAGAAGCUUUUUGCAGUUUUGACUGCAUCUUUGCUCUUUUAAGAUGACAAAGUGGAUUACAGUGCAGUCUUAGAGCUGAUAAGGAUCAUGAAAUUUGUAGAAUUUAGAGAUUUUGAUGUGUCCACUGAUUGUGUUUCUGUAUUUUUUUAAUUAAUGUUGUUUUCUCAGAGGACACUCAGGGGGCAAUAGAUAGAUUGCUCCGCCUUAACUUGAAGUCCAACAUUGAUAUGGGGGAUGAAGAAACCAGGCAGAGUCACAUGAUCCCAGAUGCUGCUGCACUAUUUGAUGAAACAGAGGGAGCGAGGGAUCCAUUCUUUGGAGUUAUGGAGACUGGUUAUGGCCUGCCAAGUCCAAGCAGCCUCAUCCAGCGAAUGGAAGAGGUCUUACCUGAGCAAGUCCCGCCCACUAGAGAACCAACACCACCUUCAGAUGGUGAGUACUGUAAUGUGAUCCACUGCCACAGCAGCACACUUUUACAAAUAUCAAUAGUCUUUCAAAUGAUGCUAUGGGAAUUUGCACAGUCAAAGUAAUGAUAAUAACAGACCAGUAAUAACAAAAAUGAGAAGACAGACAUAUAGAAAUGUGCAUUUUAUGUAUUUUUAAACCUCCUUAUUUCCCCUCUAGGCAUCACGGCCAGCCAGGAGUCCAUCACCCUGACAGAAAGAGAGCCAGUCGUCAUGCCUGAGCCAGAGGUACAGCUGUCACUCAGUGUUAUCACCAUAUAAUCGCUGUAUAAAAUCCUGAAUGCUGUUUCUCUCAUUCCUCAGUUUGAAGGAGCAGAUCUGCAGGAGUCUGACAUGAUCGAGCUACUGCUGGAGCAGCCAGAUCACUUUCUUGAGCGUGAGUGAUGGCAACAUGCUGUUUUCAUUCACACCCUUAAUUAUGUGCAGUAAUUAUCCAGAUCCAGAUUACACAUGCACAGACUAAUUGUACAACUCACACGAAACAUGUUCAUAUUUCACCCUGAAAUCAAUAAAUUUAAAUAUUCAUGCUUUUCA
This is a long non-coding RNA of Cyprinus carpio (common carp), 1351 nucleotides long. The record is from Ensembl. NCBI's taxonomy places the organism in Eukaryota, Metazoa, Chordata, Actinopteri, Cypriniformes, Cyprinidae.